UUUUGUGGAGAGUUUGAUCCUGGCUCAGGACGAACGCUGGCGGCGUGCUUAACACAUGCAAGUCGAACGAUGAUGCUUGGUGCUUGCACCGGGUGGAUUAGUGGCGAACGGGUGAGUAAUACGUGAGUAACCUGCCCUCUUCUGUGGGAUAAGCCUGGGAAACUGGGUCUAAUACUGCAUAUUCUGCUCUCAUCGCAUGGUGGGGGUUGGAAAGGGUUUUGUACUGGUGGGGGAUGGGCUCACGGCCUAUCAGCUUGUUGGUGGGGUGAUGGCCUACCAAGGCUUCGACGGGUAGCCGGCCUGAGAGGGUGACCGGCCACAUUGGGACUGAGAUACGGCCCAGACUCCUACGGGAGGCAGCAGUGGGGAAUAUUGCACAAUGGGCGCAAGCCUGAUGCAGCAACGCCGCGUG
Molecule: ribosomal RNA, 412 nt
Filed under: Actinomycetaceae bacterium
Lineage: Bacteria; Bacillati; Actinomycetota; Actinomycetes; Actinomycetales; Actinomycetaceae
Description: bacterial SSU rRNA
Rfam family: Bacterial small subunit ribosomal RNA
Source: RNAcentral